CACCUAUCAGCGCCAGGGAACUACAAGCAACGCUUAAAACCCAAAGGAUUUGACGGUGUCCCACCCACCUAGAGGAGCCUGUUCUAUAAUCGAUAACCCCCGCUAUACCUAACCAUCCCUCGCCUAUCAGUCUGUAUACCUCCGUCGAAAGCUUACCAUGUGAACGUACUUAGUAAGCUUAAUGAUCCACAUCAAUACGUCAGGUCAAGGUGCAGCUUACGGAAUGGAAAGUAAUGGGCUACAAUUUCUAACUUAGAACAAACGAAAGGCUACGUGAAACCCUAGCCCCGAAGGCGGAUUUAGUAGUAAAAAGAAAAUAGAGAGUUCUUUUUAACCCGGCUCUGGGACGCGUACACACCGCCCGUCACCCUCUUCGAUAGUACCUAACCUGUUUUUAACCUACCCCCUACGCCAUA
RNAcentral lists this ribosomal RNA (416 nucleotides) under Glandirana rugosa (Japanese wrinkled frog). RNAcentral describes it as "Rugosa rugosa (Japanese wrinkled frog) partial 12S rRNA". It matches the Rfam family "Bacterial small subunit ribosomal RNA", at positions 875 to 1445 of the family's 1533-position model. Lineage: Eukaryota; Metazoa; Chordata; Amphibia; Anura; Ranidae. The record is from RNAcentral.